This is a regulatory RNA element of Streptomyces mangrovisoli, 63 nucleotides long. It matches the Rfam family "Actino-pnp RNA". Lineage: Bacteria; Bacillati; Actinomycetota; Actinomycetes; Kitasatosporales; Streptomycetaceae. The record is from Rfam.
GCCGGUCCUCGGUAGUGGCCCCCGGGCGAAAACGAACCCCGGGUGCUUCGAUCGAAGACCGGC